CGAUAGAAAACUAUUAUAGGAUAGAUGCAUCUUAGUGUCUCAUUCUCUUCUUAAGCAGAAAAUGACAAGUAAAAGCAAUGGCCACUGCACUUAGCCACUUAUUGCCCAGUUAUCGCACGGUACACGAUUCAUAUCCGUCGGAUCGGAUCGGAUCGAAUCGUCCAGGGUAUAGCUUGACAAAGCAUUAUGAUUCCCAUCGAUCCUUUGCAGGACUCCUCCUUCGAUAUCGAAGAGCUCUUGACGUUUUGUGGUGAUAAUUACAAAGAAAAAAAUUUAGAGGGAGACGCUGGCUGGCCAAUUAAAGAUGGACAGAGUGCUGCAAAAACAUUGAUUAUCAAUCACCAGGCUAGUGUUGGAGAAACCGAACGUCCUGUUAGCCAACAUCAAGCAACUCAUGAUCAAGUUACUGAAGGUACAAUAUUGACUAUCACUCUGGCAGAUACUGAAAAAACCCAACAUUCUGUUAGCCAAUAUCAAGCAAAUCAUGAUCAAGCUGCUAGACCAUCUAGUAAGAAAAGGGGAGGAACCCCUCUAGAUGACGAUGAAAAAAGAAUAAGAAAAAGACUUGUCGAUAAAAAUCAUCGUGAAAAAAUGAAGCAAAACUCUAAGCAAAAGGAAUUGGAGUUCCAAGCUUCCAACAGUAAAGUGAAAGACCUUGAAAGUGAGUUGCAAGCUUCCAACAGAAAAGUGAAAGACUUUGAACGUAAAGAAGAGUUAUGGAAUGAGGAAAGAAACUCGAUGGCUCAAAAGAUUGGGCGGCUUAAAUCUAAAAACAGAAGAUUGAAAGAGGACGGUGUUGGGGAAAUUCUAAAGGAGUUGAGAGGUGUCAAGAUGGAAGUUCACAAACUUAAAGGUGUACAUGCAUCUAGUAUUGUAGAAGAAGACAUGUCUAAAGAAAGACUACAGAGAGAAGACACUUAUAGUAAGCAACUUCAUUUGAAAACAAGAGAAGACACUUAUAACUCUAACAAAGCUAUUAGACAACAACAAGCGUUGUUGGAGAAUAUGUUUUUGCGUAUGGGAGAAUUGCCUAUGAAACAAGAGCAAUUAAGGCAAGAGGAGAAUGGACAACUUGGUUUCGUGGGAGAUGGACGUCUUAUCACUACAGGAGAUGUGGAAGAGUUGAAAUCCAUGAUGAUGACACAAUUUGGGCAACUAUCUCAAAUGAUUGAUGCGCUAAAGACUCCAAAUCCUCCUUCACAGGCACAAGAUGCAUCCAUUGGACCUCAAAGGAUGGAUGCUCUAGAGACUCCAAAUCCUCCUUCGCAUGCACCAUGUGCAUCCACUGGACAUAGGCGAUUCUCAUCUUCAAGUUAUAAUCCUUGAGAUCGAUCCACUCGUUAUUGCAGAGAUGGCAAGAAUGUCUGAAUAUGUGAAAUCAAGAAAUGUUUAAUUCAUCUUGAGAUCGAGUUGCUAAAGAGGGAACAAACUAAACUUGGGUGCUUCAAGGGCAAUGUUAUCAACGGAUUGCUCGAACUUUUUUCUAUUGGAUUGUGAGAAGUUAAUUAAUUACAUCUCUUAUGAACUAUUUCUAUUGGAUUGUAUGUUAUCAAACCUGCAUGUUGAACAAAAUAAGUUGCUGUUGUGUUUGGGUUUUGUGAGAGUUGACACAAGAAUAUUAAUUUGUAUUUGUGGUAUGUUUAAUUAGCAAUGUCAUUUGAAUUAUUGGCUUGUA
Molecule: RNA transcript, 1675 nt
Organism: Tripterygium wilfordii
Lineage: Eukaryota; Viridiplantae; Streptophyta; Magnoliopsida; Celastrales; Celastraceae
Exons: 11
Source: RefSeq, a predicted model, not a curated record